AUUCCUUGUACCAGAUUAUUCAAAAAGAAGUCAAUGAAAUGUCUUUUCGUACAAUGCUUGUACAAAAUGCAAACUUUUAUGUUGUAUUUAAAAUAACAUUUUCAUAAACCCUUAUGAACCCCUCCAAAAAUCUAAAAAACAUAUUUUCAUCUCCAAAGUACUCCAAAAACCCUGCAAAACUCCUACAGGUUGAGCGCAUUUAUUUAUGUUUUUCUGUUUAAAUAAUGUAAAUAGAUGUUAUGUUAUUUAAAUAAUAUCAUUAGUUGGGUAAAUGUUACGAACAGUAGUAAUAGUAAACAUGUGAAUGUGAACUUGGGCCUGAUCGGAACCGCUUACAGCGCUGUUGGAGUCUGGCUCCUGGGACUGUUCGGGUACUUUCCCGGACUGGCCUGUGGGGGCGCUGUUGUUCCGCGCAGCACAAAACAGCGGGAGAAGAAGGAUCAGAAGCUACAACAAUAAUCCAGGUAAAAGCAGCUCCGCAGGGGGAAAAUCUGAGAAAAAACGGUGGAUUAAGGAGAAGAUUCCCGGUGUCAGGAUUACAGAAGAAGGAUUAGGAGAAGAAAAGUGGGAAUAAUCGUUCCUGGAGGUUAAUCUGGGCGCCAUGUUGUUUAUUUUUCCAGAUGUUUUGAUGCGCAGGCUGUAGCUUGUUUUUGACCCCCGGCGCUGUUUUUGUUAUUUUUGUUAUUUUUUAUUAGUUUUUGUGGUUGAGCUCCAGCAGCAGCAGCGGACAUGGAGAGCCUCUACAAGCGGAAAAUGUUCGCCUCCAUGAGGAAGACCAAGGUGGCCGCCUCCAAGAAGCGCCAGAUCGGCCUUCCCGCCUCCAUCCUGGACGACAGCGAUGAAGGCUCGUUCUCCUCCUCCUCCUCCGGGUCCCAGUCGGACUUCCAGAGCUCCCCGGAGGAGGACAGCGAGCAGGCGGACCGGGACUGGAGCGAGUCCGGCGGGAGCUCCAGCGACGACAGCCGCUCGGUGAGCCGCAGGAAGCGCUCCUUUCUGGGGGGCGAUGACAGCUCCUCUUCCUCCAGCCCCGGCGGAGAGGAGGAUGAAGAGGAGGAGGAGGGCCGGAGCCAGCCGAAGAGGAGCAGCCAGCCGCGGAAGAGGAGCCGGCUGCAGAGGCAGGAGGAGUCGGACUCGGAGCAGACGGAGGAGAAGCGGAAGGAGGAGGCGGAGAAGGAGAAGCGAAGGCAGCGGCACAACAAGCUGCUGGCGCUGUCCCGGAGGAUGAAGGCCCGCGUGCCCAACAGGAGGCGGAGCCGGGUCAAACAGGGUUCUGACGAUGAGGACGAGUCCAAAGACGGCGAGGACAAAAAUGGUGGCGACAAGAACGGCGGAGAAAAGAACGGCGGGGAAAAGAACGGCGGGGAAAAGAACGGCGGGGGCAGACAUGGAGGCAACGCGGAGCAGAAGGGCGGGGACGAGGGGACGAAGGACGAGGAGGAGGAGGAGGAGGAGGAGGAGGACAAAGAGGAUGAGAAGGAGUAGCCGGUCCCGGGUCCGAACGUCGGAACCAAAAACUCAAACUGUCGCUUUCUUCUUCUCUGUUUUUCCUCCUGCAGUCGACGAGCCGGACCUUCAUGAAGGUUGCUAUGGAAACGGACCCAGACAGGAAGAGGAUGUUGAACGGGUCGGUUCUGAUGAAGAGCUGAUCGGAACAGGACCGAUCUGAGUCGGAGGACGGAGCAGCUCAGUGGCAGAGCUUCAUCGCCGUGACUACACUUCCCAUGAUGCUUUGCGUGACAGAGUCUCGGCCUCCAGGGGAUGGACCGGGACUCCAGAACCGUUUCAGGGUUCUGACCCAUUUAGGAAACGCUUUCCGGGCUUUUUGGACUCAUUUGGUCCAGAAUUGCAGAACCGGACCUGGAACCAGAACCGGACCUGGUUCUGUCUGACCGGGUCAUGUGUACAUAAACCCAACUUCCUGUUCCUUAAUCAAAUCAAGUUUCUGUCUCGGUUCUGUUCAAACCGUAUUUUAGCCCGGUCCAGUUCUGAUUUUGACACAUUUGGAUUCAGUUUUUAUUUGUAGAGGGGUCAAGAGGUCAUGACCCCACAGAUGUUCCUAAAAGACAGAUUAAUUUCUGGGUUAAGCUAACGACUUCCUGAUUGGAGCUCUCGUCCAAUCAGGAUGCAAUGUUUAAAGUGGGAGGAGUUAAAAUAUGAAUUAAUGAAUCGUUGAUGACAUCACAGAAGGUUUGAGCCUCAGCCACAUGAACAGAUGUUUGUUCCAGCUGUUUAUAACCAGCUAACCUGAGUUUUUAUGAUUAGUCAGCUUUUAUUUUGAAGUUUCCAUCACAGGUCUUCCUGUGACGUUUAACCCUGGAGUCUCCUCGUUAUCCCAUCGUUAGGCUUUCUUCAAACAUAAUUAUGGAAACAUUGCUUCAGUUUGCUUGUGGGUCGCAGUGCUGCCCCCUGCAGGUUGGCGGCGUUGCCCCCCUGCAGGGCGGGCGGUGCAUUGCAGUUUUAAACUCCAUUAUAUUUCUGACGGCUGGAACAAUCUGAGAAAACAGUUAGAGAUGAAAUGUCUUCUGUUGCGUUUUAAAAGUGGAAUAUAAAAGUUUUGAAGGUUUUAGUGAAUCUGCCGGGUGAAACCGACCUGCAGGACGUCGGAUCAGAUCUGAUCAGCUGCAGGAAGUAAAGAAGGAAUCUUUUAAAAAGAGCAAAACUGAGUCAUUUAAGGCAGAACCCUAAAUGGACUUACAGCAAACGGGUCGGGUUCUGUUUGGUUCUGCUGCUUCUAAAGCUUCUAAUUUCAUAUCAGCAUUAAUAACUAAUGUAAAUACAUCAGAAAAACACUCUGUACCUUUCUGUUGGUUUUUGCAGCGCUGCAUUUAUGAGCUCGUUUUAAGACUGGACAAUUCACGUCCCAUAAUCCUCGAUUUUUCUUCUCAGUUUCUGAUGUUUCAGUUUGGAGAUUCAUCACAGCCGGGGUCCGUCUACGGAAGCUCUUAGGGACAAACUCACCGAAACAGUUUCUACGCAGGAUGUAAGCGAGUUUACGCUGGUUUUUAGUGUUUCUGUUGCUUAAUAAAAAUGCUUCAUACCAAA
Gambusia affinis (western mosquitofish) is the source of this 3042-nucleotide RNA transcript. It is a transcript of the gene named coiled-coil domain containing 82, with no coding region annotated. NCBI's taxonomy places the organism in Eukaryota, Metazoa, Chordata, Actinopteri, Cyprinodontiformes, Poeciliidae. The transcript has 3 exons. The record is from RefSeq and is a predicted model, not a curated record.